UAAGACGAACCGUGCGAACGUUGUUCGGAAUCACUGGGCUUAAAGGGCGCGUAGGCGGGCUCGCAAGUCCGGGGUGAAAGCCCCCAGCUCAACUGGGGAAGCGCCUUGGAUACUGCGGGCCUCGAGGGGGGUAGGGGCGUGCGGAACUUCCGGUGGAGCGGUGAAAUGCGUAGAUAUCGGAAGGAACACCGGUGGCGAAAGCGGCGCGCUGGACCCCUUCUGACGCUGAGGCGCGAAAGCCAGGGGAGCAAACGGGAUUAGAUACCCCGGUAGUCCUGGCCCUAAACGUUGGGCACCAGGUUGUGGGCUUGCAUGGGCUCACAGCCGGAGCAAAAGUGUUCAGUGCCCCGCCUGGGGAGUAUGGUCGCAAGGCUG
Molecule: ribosomal RNA, 375 nt
Filed under: uncultured bacterium
Lineage: Bacteria
Description: bacterial SSU rRNA
Rfam family: Bacterial small subunit ribosomal RNA
Source: RNAcentral